AAUGGAGCGGCUUUGCAAGGCGCUGUCACAGCGAUCAGCCAAUCAGGUGAGCGCAACGAAUUUGCGCUUCCUGAUUGGCUUAGAGACCUGUCAGUGACAACUGUCACUGUCAGAUCUUAAUCGUGGAAAGGUGACCCAUGUGUCAACAUGGGACACCUUUCAGUCCGUUAUGGAGCGGGUAAAUGCGCUUUCUUUUUUUGCCAAGUACGUGGAUUUAUCUCUGGAGCCUGUUGAGGAUUUGUGGACCGAACUCCAGCUCACAGACACAGAAGGUCGACAUGAACACCAUGAACGUGCUGUGCUCGCCAUGCUUAUAUUCCUACUCCAGGUCCACUGGUAUG
Molecule: long non-coding RNA, 341 nt
Organism: Pseudophryne corroboree (corroboree frog)
Lineage: Eukaryota; Metazoa; Chordata; Amphibia; Anura; Myobatrachidae
Exons: 3
Source: RefSeq, a predicted model, not a curated record